Long non-coding RNA from Coregonus clupeaformis (lake whitefish), 293 nucleotides. RefSeq lists it as uncharacterized. The record is from RefSeq and is a predicted model, not a curated record. The transcript has 3 exons. Lineage: Eukaryota; Metazoa; Chordata; Actinopteri; Salmoniformes; Salmonidae.
UUGAAGUGGGUUCCAUGUCACCAUCAUCAGCAGCAUCAUCCUCUAUUCAGCCAGGCUUUGGAAAAUAUCACUGAGGACACAUUCCAGUGCUGCUAGAUGUACAUAUGUCUGCCCAAUGUAACACCGACACCAUGGUCCAUGUCUGACUGCUGGACAGAACUGCAAGUGACACUCCCCUCUGCUGGCUAAUGUUGGUAACUGCAGCCCUUAUCAGCUCUAAUGUGUGCUGUCAAAUCUCUCUAUGUGGACCAGUACAAUUGAUGGCCCUGCAGAGUCCCACAUGGAACCAAGAG